RNAcentral lists this ribosomal RNA (201 nucleotides) under Phaeosphaeria sp. K94-017. Its description in RNAcentral is "5.8S ribosomal RNA". The stretch from base 47 to 200 matches the Rfam family "5.8S ribosomal RNA". From Rfam's summary of the family: 5.8S ribosomal RNA (5.8S rRNA) is a component of the large subunit of the eukaryotic ribosome. It is transcribed by RNA polymerase I as part of the 45S precursor that also contains 18S and 28S rRNA. Lineage: Eukaryota; Fungi; Ascomycota; Dothideomycetes; Pleosporales; Phaeosphaeriaceae. The record is from RNAcentral.
AACCUUUUUAAUUUUCAAUCAGCGUCUGAAAAAACUUAAUAAUUACAACUUUCAACAACGGAUCUCUUGGUUCUGGCAUCGAUGAAGAACGCAGCGAAAUGCGAUAAGUAGUGUGAAUUGCAGAAUUCAGUGAAUCAUCGAAUCUUUGAACGCACAUUGCGCCCCUUGGUAUUCCAUGGGGCAUGCCUGUUCGAGCGUCAU